AAAUAAAAAGGUCCAAAGACAACUAAAAAAUAUUUUUAAAAUUAAGUAAAAUCUGAGAUGUAGGUUGAAUUCUAUAUUGUGUGCUGAUUUUUGUUUUUUAACCCAUUAUUAAUGUAAUUAAUUAUAUUCAUAGAUAUUAUAUAGGAAUAAUCCACGCUUUCGUAGCAUUAACCCAACUUGUUCAUGCUACUUAGAUUCAUUGUGCUAACAUAUUACUAUUCUUACAUCCAUGUUGAGUCCUGAGAUGCCUUUAUAAUUUUCUUUGUUAUAUUAUCCUUAUUCACAUAUUGAUAUGUAAGGGUUUUUUCUAGCCCUCUAGAAUGAGUUGGAAGUCUGACCAUAUUCUUUUUUGAAACCAUUUAUACAGUGAGGGGUUGUUUCCAAAUUUUGAUAAGCUAACUCUUAAAAUUGUAUCAUGUGCUUUUAACAUUUUUAAUAUUUUUCAAAUGAAAAUAUUUCAGAGAUCCAGGAAAUAAUAUAAUAGACAUUCAUGAUCUCAUGCCUCGAGUUUGAAAGAUGUUAACAUUUGCAAUAUUUCACUUUGCACUGAACACACAGACAAACACGCAGGAACGCAAACAUAUAUUCUUACUUGGACACAUUCACCCUCCUUUUCCACUCUCUGUGAGUGAGCAGUGAAAUCUCUCAGGAAUGUCUAACAAAUAUGCUUCUUUA
RNAcentral lists this long non-coding RNA (675 nucleotides) under Marmota monax (woodchuck). The record is from RNAcentral. Lineage: Eukaryota; Metazoa; Chordata; Mammalia; Rodentia; Sciuridae.